GUGCCAGCAGCCGCGGUAAUACGGAGGGGGUUAGCGUUGUUCGGAAUUACUGGGCGUAAAGCGCGCGUAGGCGGAUUGGAAAGUUGGGGGUGAAAUCCCGGGGCUCAACUCCGGAACUGCCUCCAAAACUUCCAGUCUGGAGUUCGAGAGAGGUGAGUGGAAUUCCGAGUGUAGAGGUGAAAUUCGUAGAUAUUCGGAGGAACACCAGUGGCGAAGGCGGCUCACUGGCUCGAUACUGACGCUGAGGUGCGAAAUUGUGGGGAGCAAACAGGAUUAGAUACCCUGGUAGUCCACACCGUAAACGAUGGAAGCUAGCCGUCAGGUAGCAUGCUAUUUGGUGGCGCAGUUAACGCAUUAAGCUUCCCGCCUGGGGAGUACGGUCGCAAGAUUAAAACUCAAAUGAAUUGGCGGGG
RNAcentral lists this ribosomal RNA (413 nucleotides) under uncultured prokaryote. Its description in RNAcentral is "bacterial SSU rRNA". It matches the Rfam family "Bacterial small subunit ribosomal RNA", at positions 505 to 918 of the family's 1533-position model. The record is from RNAcentral.